This 488-nucleotide long non-coding RNA is filed under the name Cricetulus griseus (Chinese hamster). RNAcentral's name for it is "lncRNA (ENSCGRG00000024611.1)". The record is from RNAcentral. Lineage: Eukaryota; Metazoa; Chordata; Mammalia; Rodentia; Cricetidae.
AAGGCAUGGGUCAUUACAAUUGUAGACCUAUCCUAAUUUAUACUAAUGACUAACAGGCCUAACAGCAAAUAAGAGUCUGUGGAUUGGAAAGUGAAAUGGCUUGAUUAAAAACAAUGAAUUUUGUGAGCUUUAGUAACAUGCGAAGAGAAUAAUAAUUUUUAUGCUAUCCAUUCCUCACAGAAAAACUAUCAAUAUUAAAAACAAGUGAAUACUUAUGAAUAGGCUUUAUGAAUAAGGGUAUUCACAGACUCUAAUAAGUCAAGUCCUGGCACAAUGAUCUCUGAGGAGUCUGGAUGUGGUACUUCAGCUUAUAUUUUGGACAUCUUUGAGGUUAUGGUCAUCAGCUGUGGGGUCAUAGGAACCAUCAAACCAAAGCUUCCGGAAGAGAGAAUUCAGUGAGUACAUUCCUUAGUGUUUUUGUGAGUGGAUAAAUUUUUAUAUGAUCAAAAUGUGUAUCCGUGCUUCUCUGCUGUUUAAUUAUAGGGCCA